Molecule: long non-coding RNA, 3155 nt
Filed under: Homo sapiens (human)
Lineage: Eukaryota; Metazoa; Chordata; Mammalia; Primates; Hominidae
Description: HSALNT0394434
Source: RNAcentral
AGACUGCUGUGCUAGCAAUCAGGGAGAUUCCGUGGGCGUAGGACCCUCCAAGCCAGGUGUGGGAUAUAGUCUAGUGGUGCGCCGUUUUUUAAGCCUGUCGGAAAAGCGCAGUAUUCUGGUGGGAGUGACCCGAUUUUCCAGGUGCCGUCCGUCACCCCUUUCUUUGACUAGGAAAGGGAACUCCGUGACCCCUUGCGCUUCCUGAGUGAGGCAAUGCCUCGCCCUGCUUCGGCUCUCGCACGGUGCGCGCUCCCACUGACCUGCGCCCACUGUCUGGCACUCCCUAGUGAGAUGAACCCGGUACCUCAGAUGGAAAUGCUGAAAUCACCCGUCUUCUGCGUCGCUCAGGCUGGGAGCUGUAGACCGGAGCUGUUCCUAUUCGGCCAUCUUGUCUCCUCCCCCCAGCCCACAACAGCCUAUGAAGAAUAACUAGAGGUCUUCAUAUCAGAGGCAGAAGGUACUGCAAGCUUACUUUCCAACGUGGCUGCAUCGUUUCACAUUCCCACCAGCAGUAUGAGGUUUCCAAUUUCUCUGCAUCCUCAUCAAAACUUGUUAUUAUCUGUCUUUUUUAUUUUAGACGUUCUAGAAGGUGUGGAGUGGUAUCUCAUUGUGGUAUUGAUUUGCAUUUCCUUAAGGACUAAUGCUUUUGAACAUUUUUUCAUGUGCUUAUUGGCCAUUUGUAUAUCUUCUCUGGAGAAAUGUUUAUUCAAAUCCUUUGUCCAUUUUUUAAUUGGAUUGUCUUUUUAUUGUUGCAUGGUAUAAGUUCUCUAUAUAUUCUGGACACAAGUCUCUUAUUAGUUAUACCAUUUGCAAAUAUUUUCUCCCAUUCUGUGCGUUGUCUUUUAACCUUUCUAAUGUGUCCAUUGAAACACAAAAGUUUUUAAUUUUCACAAAGUUCAAUUUAUCUACUUUUUUCUUUUGUCACUUAUUUGUAUCAUAUCUGAGAAACCAUUACCUAAUCCAAGGUCAGGAAGGAUUACUCCUAUGUUCUCUUUUGAGAGUUUUAUUGUUUUUACUCUUAUAUUUAAGUUGAAUAUCCAUUUUGAGUUAGUUAAUUUUUGUAUAUAGUAUGACAUAGGAUCGAGAGGAUCUUGUUAAUCACUUUUUCCUGAUAUACAUCAGCUUCAAAUGUGAAGCUAUAAAUCUCCCUGUAGGUUUCCUGAAAGCCCUCAUUAUAUAAAGCAACUUCUGUGACAAAUUUGACUUGAUUAAUUAAUUAAUUAGAGACACAGUCUUGCUCUGUCCCCCAGACUGGAGUGCAGUGGUGCCAUCUUGGAUCACAGCAACCUUCAACUCUCAGGUUCAAGCAAUUCUAGUGCCUCAGCUUCCCAAGUAGCUAGGAUCACAGGUGUGCACCAGCAUGCCUGGCUACUUUUUGUAUUUUUAGUAGAGGCAUGUUUUUGCCAUGUUAGCCAGACUGGUCUCUAACUCCUGGCCUCAAGUCUUCCCCUGCCUUGGCCAACCAAAGUGCUGGGAUUACUGGUGUGAACCACCGUGCCUAGUCAUGAUAAUUUAUUGAGUGGAGUUCUGUUCAAGAUGAUGGAGGGCUAACAGCAGCAAAAGCCAGGCUCACUGGCUCUUGCCUGUAAUCCUAGCACUUUGGGAGGCCUAGUUGGUUAGGUAGAUCACCUGAGCUCAGGAGUUCGAGACCAGCCUAGCCAACAUGGCGAAACCCUGUCUCUACUAAAAAUACAAAAAUUAGCCGGGCAUAGUGGUGGAUGCUAAUAAUCCCAGCUACUCUGGAGGCUGAGACAGGAGAAUUGCUUGAACCUGGGGGCGGAGGUUGCAGUGAGCUGAGAUUGCGCCACUUCACUUCAGCCUGAGUGACAGAGUGAAAUUCCAUCUUAAAAGAAAAAAAAAAAAAAAAGGAAAGAAAGCAGCAAAGAGAAUUUUUUGGCAAGAUUAUGAGCCAAUUUUAAGAGCUUUUAUUACAUUUCAAAUGUGAUUUUAAAUUCUCAAAGUUGGACAGAUAGCAGGGAAAGAAUGGUCACAGACUUUUCCCUAAUAUUUUAAGUUGCUUCAAACCAGUUAUUAAAUCUUAUAUGUAUUUUUUAAAGACUUAUUCCACAGGGGUUUGAUUAAUUUACACAGACUUCUUCCAAAACUGUAUCUAAACCACAUUGUUGAUAUCUAAGAAACUCUAUGAGCUUCUUCAAAAGCCCUCUUAAAAAUACAACAAAAUCAUGUUAGCAACUCCAGAUUCCAAGUUGAAAUCCUCCCGCUUUAGUAUAAGAACCAUCAGUUUUGAAUGAGUCUGGAUACGAAAACCUAUUUUCCCAUUUUGAGGAGAAAAUCCCUUUUUAGAGACUCUUUCUUGAAUGGAUAUUUGUUAUAACAUAUUUGGGCUUAGGGCUAAAACCUUUGGUUUGUAAGCUGAGGUUUUCAUUUGCACUUACCAUCAACAGCGUAUAAGUUGAAAAGAAUCUCAGGUCUGGUUGCUGUCCUGAGCUACUGCAAAGAAGAAACCACUGAGAAUAAGAGCAUUUCAAUUAUUGUACAUCACAUUUGCUAUUUGCUGCCGUUAUUCUUCUAUUAAAGGAGGAUAAUCAACUGAUAUGAUAUUGUAGAUCUCAGUGCCUAGUGCAUUGUAGGUCCUCAAUAUAUGUUGAUUCUUCUUUUCUUUACAUAUUUUUGAGGUACAGAAAGAAGUUCUUAAAAUGGUUUUUAACUGUAAUCAUUUUGGAAAAUUAGCUAUGAAGAUGGAAAUUUGUGAACAAAGGAGAACUUGCAAAUGCCAUUUUACUGAGCAUGUUACUGAAUGGUUAUAUAAGGAGUAAAUAUUCUCUCAGCCUUAGUAAGUAAAUAUGAACCAAUAAGAACACAGGUGAGGACUCUUUUCCUAACCAGAAUAGAUGGCUAAGGUUUACAGGGCAAUAAAUUAGACUAUUUGUAUCCAAAGCAAUAUUGUUGUCACCACCAAUUGUAAUAAGCAUUUUUAUAAUUUAUGCCUUUAAUGUGUUUAUUAUGAAAAAGCUUCUAAGUAUAUUGCACAAGUGGUAAUCUGCUCCAGAACUGGAAAUUUGGGAGACUUGGUUUUUGGACUCAGCCUAUUCACUAUUAUUUGGUUGAUAGGUUUAUUAUUAUUAUUAUUAUUAUUUUUUAAAGGCCUGAGACAGUAGAGACUUUCUAAUAAAAUAUGCUGCAGUGAUGAAAAU